Molecule: long non-coding RNA, 915 nt
Organism: Lolium rigidum
Lineage: Eukaryota; Viridiplantae; Streptophyta; Magnoliopsida; Poales; Poaceae
Exons: 4
Source: RefSeq, a predicted model, not a curated record
CACUUGGCCUUAGUUUUUUGCUCAUGUUAAUUAAUACCUUGCAUAAUAUCCAUGUACAGUAGGUAGUGGCACUCUAUAAUUAUUGCACUCGCGGACACGAUGCUCUUCAUUAAUCAUUUCGCGGUAGAAGAAAGAUCCAUAUUUCAUUUUUGAAUUUAGACUGUGUCGAUUACCAUGUGUUGAGUUUACACUUGGUUUUUUUGUCCAUCAAAUUGCUGGCCGUCUUUGGAGAAGAUCAGAUCAGAUGAAUUCAACAGGUAAUUCGUCGUAUCAAUCAUGUCAGUUCGAUCUCCUUUUCUUCUUUUACAACUGCUUUUACACAAACAUAUAGUCUCAUCUGAUGUUUUUUUGAUAGUUGUGUGUUUCAUUUCAAUGUACUGACCGCUAGCUGGAGAUAACUUCCAGUAGAUCUCAAUGCUCCUCAGAUGAUUGGCAGUGUGCUGCAAACUGUUGAUGUAUAUUUUAUCAAGAGCAUUUGAAUCAUGAUGCUCCAGACAAUGCUGAAGUUGAUUCAUCUGGUUUCUAUUAUCUUCAUGGAGCAGCGCAUCGUGCGUCCUGCCAUUAAUCUUCCUCCGAUCUCGCGUUGGGAGUAGUACCAAAUCUGCAUAUGUGGGAACGAUGCGACAAGAAGCUUCUGGAGUUAGAUGGGAGAGCAAAGGAGAGAAGCAGCAGUGUUCUAGUUUUUGGUGUGUUUUCCCCAGCAAGAUCUCCAUUCUUGUUCAGUGGCUCACACCAUCUUCACAAGCAAUGGCGGUGUACAAGUUGGACGUGGAGGGAUCAACUACGAAGCUUCUAUUGUUCUCUCCCAGCAGGUGAUAUCAGAAAUCAUUGAGUGUUGAUGAAAAUCGGUUCUUUUCUACCUAAAUCUGAGUUGCUGCUCCCUCUCACAUCAAAGUUGGCUGCACGUGUUCAUGA